UCAGGGUCAAGGAGCCACUGUCUAUUCUUGCGCCAACGUCAAUGGUGCACUGAAGUUCAUCCGUUCCACACUGAACAAUCAAAGACUGGCUCAGGAUAACACAUUCAUCCCUGGAAGUUUCCGUGGUUCGGUGAAUAGAGGAAAGAUUCAGUGCAUUUUCAAUGCUGCAGGUCUCGGCAGCAUCACUCGUGCGGCAACCCCAGACACUUAUGUCUUCUUUUUAACAGGCAGUGUCUUAAAUGGUUCUCUGGAUUCUCCAGUCAGUAGACUGACCACAAACGGGUCAGUGGACUUAAGCAACCCUAACAGCACAGACGUUUCAGUAAUAAUACCCAGUACAAAUUCCACCACAACAGCACCGAACACCACCACAUCUAAUUCCUCUGUAGCAUUAAACACCACAACGGCCCCGAACACCACCACAUCUAAUUCCACUGCAACAUCAAAUGCCACUGCAUCCUCAAAUACCACUGCAUCUACUGCCUCUGGAGUAUCUACAGCUAAUAACGGUACAACAAAUGAGAAAGUCACCAAGGACAACUGUAAGAAGGACAGGGCAUGUUUCUUCACUCCAGCCAACUGUGAUCCAUCGAGCUCAAGUAGCUGCUUUUUCACCUCCACAAGAGGGGUGAACGGAGACUCAGACAAUCUCACUUUUGAGCUCAGUGGAGAUUCAAACGGUUACAUCGCAGUUGGCCUGUCUCGAGACAAGAAGGAGGGUGAUGAUGACACCGUCUACUCUUGUGCCAAUGACAAUGGCGUGGCGAAGUUCAUUCGUGCCACACUGAACAACGCCAUUCUGACUCCGGACAAGACUUUUAACCCUAGAUCCUUCCGUGGCUCUGUGAGCGGCACUAGGAUUCAAUGCAUUUUUGUAGCUGUAGGUCUCAGCAGCAGCACCCGUGCGGCAAACACAAAUACUUUCCUCUAUUUCUUCACUGGCAACUUUACAAAUGGCACUCUGGGGUCUCCAGUCACACGAAUGUCUACAAAUUCAUCGGUUGAUCUGACCAACACUAACAGCUCAGACGUUGCCAUAAUAACACCCACUACAAACACAGACUCUAAUACUACCACUAUUACCGUUUCUACUACUGCGACAACGACUACUACAGCAAAACCUGCUACUACAGCAGGGAGCAAUGCACUGCAUCAUGCUGCAUCACAGGCUGCUCUGGUAAUUCUCUCAGGGAUCCUUGCAGUGCUCCUGUUGUAAGGAUGCUGCCCACACAUUUGCUUUCUGAAACUGGUCGAUGAGCACUGGACGCUUGAUGAACCCAACACCAAAGUAUAUGUAAUUCAGCAUAUUUAUAACUGUGCAAUAUUGCGACUCUGGGAACAAUGAAGAAAGGAGCUGAAAAUAUGGGGAAGAGGGCAAUACAUCAUUCAUUUAAUCUCUGUGUUUGUGUGAGAGAGAUUGUGUUUAUGAAUGUUUUUGCGAGCGUUAGUGUUUGUAUUCUGCUAAUGUACUGCUAUUUAAAAUCAAGCUCCUGCACAGAGAGGGCUGAUACAAUUAUAAUCAGUCUAUUCAUUUAAUUGUGCAAGUGUGACACCAUCAAGCGGCUGAAAAUAUCUAAGAUAAUUGUUUUUAAAUGUCUUAAUUUAUUCUUACUUAUACCUCAAACUAUUGAUUGUUUUAAAUAAAGUUUUAAAUAAAGUCACAUGUUCUUUUUUCUUUUUUUUUUUUUUUUAAAUAUGCAUAAAAUGUUCAAGUAAAAAA
Long non-coding RNA from Sinocyclocheilus anshuiensis, 1720 nucleotides. The record is from Ensembl. NCBI's taxonomy places the organism in Eukaryota, Metazoa, Chordata, Actinopteri, Cypriniformes, Cyprinidae.